AUCUUUUUGAUAAUUCAACAUCCAGUAUUUCAUACUGCCUACUCCCACCUCGAACGAGAAAGAGAUCUAAGGCAUCUUUGAAGAAAGUCAAGCAGGAAUAGAUGGCCUGCCCCUAGCUCUAAAUAAUCUCUAUACUUUGCUAUCACAGGAGUGCUUUCAUUCCCUGCCACCCGCUUCUAUAAUUGGCUGUUCCUUAUCGGCAUCUCAAGAAAAAAUCUUUCAUGAUCCAUUCCGGAAUUGGAUAGAGAAUAGUUGGGAUAUUCCACUGGGAGGGAGAGGCGGGGGUGACAUCAGAAGUAGGAUCGUCGAACGGAUAGCAGCAUCCCUUUCUCGAUGAAGUUCUGCACGAUUUGGUUAGUUUAGAAGUCAGCCUGAACUUACUUUGAAGUCUUUGCUCAGCCCGAGCAUUCCUACCUUGCCUCGAGCGCUAGGCAAUUAUCCAAACAAAGGAUGGGUGGAAUGAGGCUUCAAACCCGGGGCAUCAAAGCCUUUUCGGCAAUCAAUGUAUAGACCAGUAAUUUCGUAGUAUAGUAAACAGGCACAACAUCACUGUCAAGGGCAUUCUUCUGAGGCAAAAAGCAAAGAGUUGGACCUUCGGAGGUUAAUUUCUUUCUUAGAUGCUGUGUGCAGCUGCCUUCCAACUAUCGGAAAUCCGUUCCAGUACGGGCGCUGGAGUUCCUUAAUGCAGCUGGUGGUCUUAUAGUAGAGUGAUCCACGGGUAGUUAUCUAUGAGUUGAGCAAUGCCUUCACAAUCAUCACCUGUUAUGACAAUGUCAUAAAUAUAAACUACCAAACAAAUACACUUGCCAUGAGGUGUAUGUCGGUAAAACAUUGAAUAAAUUGCCUCACUCCAAAACAUCCCAAACUAGUAGACAACGAUACUAAGCUGACCAAACCAUGUCCUCAUUGAUUGCUUUAGACCAUAAAGAGACCAACGUAGUUAACACAUUACCAGACUUCCAUGAGCAACAAACCCUAAAGGUUGCUCCAUAUAAACUUCUUUAAUGAGUUCUCCAUGUAAGAAGGCAUUUUUAUGUCCAAUUGAUGAAGAGGUCGGUGAAACAUGGCAACUAUAGAGAUAAAAAAG
This 1087-nucleotide unclassified non-coding RNA is filed under the name Hevea brasiliensis (rubber tree). Lineage: Eukaryota; Viridiplantae; Streptophyta; Magnoliopsida; Malpighiales; Euphorbiaceae. The record is from RNAcentral.